UACAGGGGAUGCGAGUGUUAUCCGGAAUUAUUGGGCGUAAAGCGUCUGCAGGUGGAUAAGUAAGUCUUAUGUUAAAUUUCUAGGCUCAACCUGGAGUCGGCAAAGGAAACUACUUAUCUCGAGUAUGGUAGGGGUAAAGGGAAUUUCAAGUGGAGCGGUGAAAUGCGUAGAUAUUUGAAAGAACUCCAAUAGCGAAGGCACUUUACUGGGCCAUUACUGACACUCAGAGACGAAAGCUAGGGGAGCAAACAGGAUUAGAUACCCUGGUAGUCCUAGCUGUAAACGAUGGAUACUAGAUGUUGCAUAUUUAAUACAGUGUCGUAGCUAACGCGUUAAGUAUCCCGCCUGGGAAGUACGCUCGCAAGGGUG
RNAcentral lists this ribosomal RNA (369 nucleotides) under uncultured phototrophic eukaryote. RNAcentral's name for it is "SSU rRNA". It matches the Rfam family "Bacterial small subunit ribosomal RNA", at positions 524 to 896 of the family's 1533-position model. The record is from RNAcentral.